This 460-nucleotide ribosomal RNA is filed under the name uncultured bacterium. RNAcentral describes it as "partial 16S ribosomal RNA". It matches the Rfam family "Bacterial small subunit ribosomal RNA", at positions 338 to 795 of the family's 1533-position model. The record is from RNAcentral.
CCUACGGGGGGCAGCAGUGAGGAAUAUUGGUCAAUGGACGAGAGUCUGAACCAGCCAAGUAGCGUGAAGGAUGACUGCCCUAUGGGUUGUAAACUUCUUUUAUAAAGGAAUAAAACGAGGCACGUGUGCCUUUUUGCAUGUACUUUAUGAAUUAGGAUCGGAUAACUCCGUGCCAGCAGCCGCGGUAAUACGGAGGAUCCGAGCGUUAUCCGGAUUUAUUGGGUUUAAAGGGAGCGUAGAUGGGUUGUUAAGUUAGUUGGGAAAGUUUGCGGCUCAACCGUAAAAUUGCAAUUGAUACUGGCAGUCUUGAGUACAGGUGAGGUAGGCGGAAUUCGUGGUGUAGCGGUGAAAUGCUUAGAUAUCACGAAGAACCCCGAUUGCGAAGGCAGCUUACUAAACUGUGACUGACAUUGAUGCUCGAAAGUGUGGGUAUCAAACAGGAUUAGAUACCCGUGUAGUC